UCACAAAAAAUUUGAUUGCAAAGUAAUUCAGAAUCAAGUUUUAGAAUUUUUGCCACAAUUUUUUUCCAAUAAAAGUUCAAAAAUUAAGCUCCGAAGAUUAUUAGGAAACUAAAAAAUUAAAAAUUUAACGGAGG
Non-coding RNA from Caenorhabditis elegans, 134 nucleotides. The record is from Ensembl. NCBI's taxonomy places the organism in Eukaryota, Metazoa, Nematoda, Chromadorea, Rhabditida, Rhabditidae.